Oreochromis niloticus (Nile tilapia) is the source of this 615-nucleotide long non-coding RNA. RefSeq lists it as uncharacterized. The transcript is spliced from 3 exons. NCBI's taxonomy places the organism in Eukaryota, Metazoa, Chordata, Actinopteri, Cichliformes, Cichlidae. The record is from RefSeq and is a predicted model, not a curated record.
UAUUAUUUCCGACACCCCUUGAACACACUUUGAUUUUCCGUAGUUCAGUGAAUGCAACAUACGCACGCUGCUGCAUUAAGCUAGACAAAACGGAGCAAGACACCGAGAGCAAUCAACAAGCUACACAAGCCGUUUAUGUGUUUUGCUCUCGACCAAACCAGGUGGAGCGUGUGUUUGUUUCUUGGGAACUCCGACUGUUUUAUUUUUGUGAUCCUGGAUCUGAUCCUGAAGUGGUUCUGGAUAUGGAUGGCGAGAUGGCGAGCCAGACCCUGUGAAAACUCUUGGCGAAUCCAAAAGCAGUGUGGCCAGCUGUUCUGGAUGCAGGAGUAGAUCUACAGAUGUGAAUUACUUCAAAUCGCAGGAUUUCAGAUAAGCAAGAGCAACAACUACUUACUCCAUACGGAUCGUUUCUCUGAAAAACUAUUGAACUCACAAUAUCCUGCUCAUCAGGAGUCAGGUCUAAAGAGACUACUUAUUUUAUUUUAUUAUAUUUUGUUGUUAUUUUCAAAAGAGCGCUCUUCUCUGUUGAUCUUCUGUUAAUUUUCUAUGUUGUUUACAUUGGGUUAUUGCACCAUUGUAACAUUGUAAUAAAUCUGCCGGCUGUUCAACACUCAA